RNAcentral lists this ribosomal RNA (432 nucleotides) under uncultured bacterium. Its description in RNAcentral is "partial 16S ribosomal RNA". It matches the Rfam family "Bacterial small subunit ribosomal RNA", at positions 29 to 506 of the family's 1533-position model. The record is from RNAcentral.
AACGAACGCUGGCGGCAUGCCUAACACAUGCAAGUCGAACGAGACCUUCGGGUCUAGUGGCGCACGGGUGCGUAACGCGUGGGAACCUGCCCUUAGGUUCGGAAUAACUCCCCGAAAGGGGUGCUAAUACCGGAUAAUGUCUUCGGACCAACGAUUUAUCGCCUUUGGAUGGGCCCGCGUUGGAUUAGCUCGUUGGUAGGGUAAAAGCCUACCAAGGCGACGAUCCAUAGCUGGUCUGAGAGGAUGAUCAGCCCCACUGGGACUGGGACACGGCCCAGACUCCUCCGGGAGGCAGCAGUGGGGAAUAUUGGACAAUGGGCGAAAGCCUGAUCCAGCACUGCCGCGUGAGUGAUGAAGGCCUUAGGGUUGUAAAGCUCUUUUACCCGAGAUGAUAAUGCCAGUACCGGGAGAAUAAGCUCCGGCUACCUCCGU